Molecule: ribosomal RNA, 621 nt
Filed under: Bacillus cereus
Lineage: Bacteria; Bacillati; Bacillota; Bacilli; Caryophanales; Bacillaceae
Description: bacterial SSU rRNA
Rfam family: Bacterial small subunit ribosomal RNA
Source: RNAcentral
UGGGUAACCUACCCAUAAGACUGGGAUAACUCCGGGAAACCGGGGCUAAUACCGGAUAAUAUUUUGAACUGCAUAGUUCGAAAUUGAAAGGCGGCUUCGGCUGUCACUUAUGGAUGGACCCGCGUCGCAUUAGCUAGUUGGUGAGGUAACGGCUCACCAAGGCGACGAUGCGUAGCCGACCUGAGAGGGUGAUCGGCCACACUGGGACUGAGACACGGCCCAGACUCCUACGGGAGGCAGCAGUAGGGAAUCUUCCGCAAUGGACGAAAGUCUGACGGAGCAACGCCGCGUGAGUGAUGAAGGCUUUCGGGUCGUAAAACUCUGUUGUUAGGGAAGAACAAGUGCUAGUUGAAUAAGCUGGCACCUUGACGGUACCUAACCAGAAAGCCACGGCUAACUACGUGCCAGCAGCCGCGGUAAUACGUAGGUGGCAAGCGUUAUCCGGAAUUAUUGGGCGUAAAGCGCGCGCAGGUGGUUUCUUAAGUCUGAUGUGAAAGCCCACGGCUCAACCGUGGAGGGUCAUUGGAAACUGGGAGACUUGAGUGCAGAAGAGGAAAGUGGAAUUCCAUGUGUAGCGGUGAAAUGCGUAGAGAUAUGGAGGAACACCAGUGGCGAAGGCGA